AGUAACAUGGUGUAGACCCGAAACCGCAGUGAUCUAUCCAUGGUCAGGUUGAAGCGCAGGUAAAAAUGCGUGGAGGACCGAACCCGUGAGUGUUGAAAAACUUUGGGAUGAACCGUGGAUAGGGGUGAAAUGCCAAUCGAACGCGGAGAUAGCUGGUACUCCCCGAAAUAGCUUUAGGGCUAGCCUCAGGGAAGAUUAUAGACGGUAGAGCACUGUUCUGGUAAGGGGGCGUAAAGCCUACCGACCCUAGACAAACUUCGAAUGGCUAUAAUUAAGACCCUGGGAGUCAGACUGCGAGUGAUAAGACCCGUAGUCAAGAGGGAAACAGCCCAGACCACCGACUAAGGUCCCCAAUGCUGUACUAAGUGGAGAAGGAUGUAAGACUUCAUAAACAACCAGGAUGUUGGCUUAGAAGCAGCCACCAUUAAAAGAGUGCGUAAUAGCUCACUGGUCGAGAGGCCUUGCGCCGAAGAUGUCCGGGGCUCAAGUACAGAACCGAAGUCGUGGCAGGAUGAAUAAUUCUGGGUAGGGGAGCGUUGUGUAUUCGACUGAAGGUGUACCGUAAGGAGCGCUGGAGGAUACACAAGAGAGAAUGCCGGUAUGAGUAGCGAAAAGAACAGUGAGAAUCUGUUCCACCGAAAGCCUAAGGUUUCCUGAGCAACGCUCGUCGACUCAGGGUAAGUCGGGACCUAAGCCGAGGCAAAAAGCAUAGGCGAUGGACAACAGGUUAAUAUUCCUGUACCGCUUCAAAUCGUUUGAGCAAUGGAGUGACACAGAAGGUAGCUUGAGCACGCGAUUGGAAGAGCGUGUCGAAGGUGGUAGGUUGUGAUAUAGGAAAAUCCGUAUCAUAAGACCGAGAGCUGAUAGAUAGACGAUACUUCGGUAGAGUCAAAUUCAAGUGAGCCAUGCUGUCGAGAAAAGCUUCUAGUGAGAGAUGGAGCGCCCGUACCGAAACCGACACAGGUAGGCGGGGAGAGAAUCCUAAGGUGCGCGGGACAACCCUCGUUAAGGAACUCGGCAAAUUGUAUCCGUAACUUAGGGAUAAGGAUAGCCGGAGGGCGUGAAGGAACUUGCUUCCAGAGCGCAAGCCGGUGGCACAAGAGAGGCCCAAGCGACUGUUUAGCACAAACACAGGUGCCUGCGAAAGAGAAAUCUGAAGUAUAGGUGCUGACACCUGCCCGGUGCUGGAAGGUUAAGAGGAGGGCUUAGAGGCAACUCGAAGGCUUGAAUUGAAGCCCCAGUAAACGGCGGCCGUAACUAUAACGGUCCUAAGGUAGCGAAAUUCCUUGUCGGGUAAGUUCCGACCCGCACGAAAGGUGUAACGACUUGGGCACUGUCUCAACGAGGGACCCGGUGAAAUUGAAGUACCUGUGAAGAUGCAGGUUACCCGCGACUGGACAGAAAGACCCCAUGGAGCUUUACUGCAACCUGACAUUGAUGUUUAGUAAAUAACGUACAGGAUAGGUGGGAGACUGGGAAGUCUGGGCGUUAGCCUAGAUGGAGUCGACGUUGGGAUACCACCCUUUAUUUAUUGAACCUCUAACUGUAGGAGUAACGAAACUCAGGACAGUGUCAGGCGGGCAGUUUGACUGGGGCGGUCGCCUCCCAAAAUGUAACGGAGGCGCCCAAAGGUUCCCUCAGCGCGAACGGAAACCGCGCAAAGAGUGCAAAGGCAGAAGGGAGCUUGACUGCGAGUCAGACACGACGAGCAGGUACGAAAGUAGGGCUUAGUGAUCCGGUGGUUCCGAGUGGAAGGGCCAUCGCUCAACGGAUAAAAGCUACCCUGGGGAUAACAGGCUAAUCUCUCCCAAGAGUCCAUAUCGACGGGGAGGUUUGGCACCUCGAUGUCGGCUCAUCACAUCCUGGGGCUGGAGCAGGUCCCAAGGGUUGGGCUGUUCGCCCAUUAAAGUGGUACGUGAGCUGGGUUCAGAACGUCGUGAGACAGUUCGGUCCAUAUCCAUCGCGGGCGUAAGAGACUUGAAGGGGGCUGCUCCUAGUACGAGAGGACCGGAGUGGACGGACCAAUGGUGUACCAAUUAUCCCGCCAGGGGUACAGUUGGGUAGCUACGUCCGGAAAGGAUAAACGCUGAAAGCAUCUAAGCGUGAAACCAGCCUUGAGAUGAGGUCUCCCGAAGCGUAAGCUUGAAAGACACCUUAAAGAAGAUGAGGUUGAUAGGCCAGGAGUAGAAGUUCAGUAAUGAAUGUAGCGGACUGGUACUAAUAAGUCGAGAACUUAACUUA
Molecule: ribosomal RNA, 2241 nt
Filed under: Megamonas hypermegale
Lineage: Bacteria; Bacillati; Bacillota; Negativicutes; Selenomonadales; Selenomonadaceae
Description: bacterial LSU rRNA
Rfam family: Bacterial large subunit ribosomal RNA
Source: RNAcentral